CUUGUAACAACUGGCACUAUGCCUAAAAAGCAGUUUGGACUGGCUAACCUUGGGACCGGAAGGGUGUAGCUUACCCACGUGGUUUUAACUUAAUCAUCCAGCUCCCGGACACAUCUCCCGGCAGGCUUUUCUUAUGGAGUAGGUGGCAAUGCAGAAUCUCUCUACGGGCGCUUUCCCCACGGUCAGCCUCCACCCUAGGGCAGCUGAGGGAGUGCGCCAGGACUGAGAAACAGCAUUGAGAAAAACCCAGCCAUGGUUCUCAACAGAGCAUUCUGACAGAUGUUUCUUAGGCCCUACUAUACUUUUACUCUUCUCUACUUCUUGCCCCAGCUCCCUCCACCCCAACCUCGAGAAGCAGGAGUUAGAAUUUUAUAUUCCUUUCUAAGUAAACUUUUUUCCUCCAAGAGAUAAUCUACCCUGGCCCUAUCGAGGUUAAAUCUGAGCUGGUGUAACUGAAGGAGGUGGUUGAUUUUCCUAACAGUAAAAUAUCUAAACCAAAUAUGCCCUGUGUUUCAGCAGCUUAAACACUGAGGUCUAACAAGGACCCGAGGUUCCACUUCGCUUGCCAAGGGCUAAGUGUGUGUCUAAGUGAGAGAAAGUGAUUCUGAGGAGCGGGAACGUCUGAGUGGGUGAAGGAGAGUUUGUGCCGCUGUUGCUGUGCGCCACCCGCGGGCCUGGCCCCAGGGAGAAGCACCAGGCCAGGCGGCCCAGCCCAUUUACAAUCCACCCGCUGCUGACAAUUAACUGACAAUUAACCCGGGGAGGGGGCGCACCUCCCAGCGUCCUUCAGGGCGCGGGUCACGAGACGGGGCGGGCCCGGUAACCCCGGCAACAGGGCCAGUCAGGCACCUGGGAGCGGAGCCCUUCAGAAGCUGCUGCGCUAACAGCAUUGGAAAAGAAGUGUGGGGCGGAGUGACUGGUAGCCAUGACCUUCAGAAUAUCAAGAGGAAAACAAAUGGAGGUGCUGAUGUUUCCAGGGAUCUCUUCAUUAUAGUACUUGCCUUUCUUUCUAGAAAUGAUGGGAAAACCACACCAAAUCUGCAGGUGUGGUCAAGAGACCUGCUUGGCGCUCAGUGUGAGCAGAAGUGCUGUGUGUCGCUUCUCUGGGCUGCAGCUCUCCACAUCAGAUCUGCCACAUUUCUUCCCUCUACCAAGAUUACCAACAUCAUCAUCCCAGGUCACGGAAUGGGGACAACAGGGAGCAGAGCCCACAGCUGGCCCAGAUCCAAGACACAGCAUCAAGAAAGAACCCUUUGUUGCUUUCAUUCGGUCAGACUGUGGGGUUGUUUGUUACUGCAAUAGAACCUACUUCGUGCACCAUUUGAAGAAAGAAGGACAUGGGGCUGAGAACCUGGCUUGCUGCUUGAAGGGAGGAAAUAAAGCAGCAAGAGAGAGGAGAAAGAAGGGUCUGGACUCCCUGUCAUUA
Fukomys damarensis (Damara mole-rat) is the source of this 1426-nucleotide long non-coding RNA. RefSeq lists it as uncharacterized. NCBI's taxonomy places the organism in Eukaryota, Metazoa, Chordata, Mammalia, Rodentia, Bathyergidae. The record is from RefSeq and is a predicted model, not a curated record. The transcript has 3 exons.